RNAcentral lists this ribosomal RNA (618 nucleotides) under Triticum aestivum (bread wheat). RNAcentral's name for it is "partial small subunit ribosomal RNA". The record is from RNAcentral. Lineage: Eukaryota; Viridiplantae; Streptophyta; Magnoliopsida; Poales; Poaceae.
AUGGGGGAGCUGCGCCCAUUCCGCGUCAACAGCGACAACAGAACCCUCAGCACAAACGAGCACGCCUGGACCAACGUGGCUAACGUGCUCUUCCUCGAAUCGCCUGCCGGCGUCGGAUUUUCCUACUCCAACACGACCUCCGACUACAACAAGAGCGGAGACCAGAGGACAUCGGAGGACGCGUUCCUCUUCCUCGUCAGCUGGUUCGAGAGGUUCCCGGGGUACAAGGGCCGCUCCUUCUACAUCUCCGGGGAGAGCUACGCCGGCCACUACGUGCCGCAGCUCGCAGCCACCAUCUUGAGCCACAACACUUCCAUAAACCUACAGGGUAUUUUGGUGGGCAACCCAUAUCUUGAUGAUAACAUGAACACAAAAGGGGUGACCGACUUCCUGUGGGGCCAUGCGGUGAUAUCAGAUGAGGUGUACGCCAACAUCACCAAGAGCUGCAACUUCAAUCUGUCGGAUGGAAGCGCAUGCUCUGACGCCAUGGCCGCAUAUGAUACUGCCAACACUCUCCUCUUCGACAUUUACGGACCUGUUUGUAUCGACGCACCCGACGGAAAAUACUACCCCAGCCGCUAUGUAAGAUAUACGUAUUUUGGAGUACAUCUUUUCUGA